Molecule: ribosomal RNA, 870 nt
Filed under: Ralstonia solanacearum
Lineage: Bacteria; Pseudomonadati; Pseudomonadota; Betaproteobacteria; Burkholderiales; Burkholderiaceae
Description: bacterial SSU rRNA
Rfam family: Bacterial small subunit ribosomal RNA
Source: RNAcentral
CGAACGGCAGCGGGGGUAGCUUGCUACCUGCCGGCGAGUGGCGAACGGGUGAGUAAUACAUCGGAACGUGCCCUGUAGUGGGGGAUAACUAGUCGAAAGACUAGCUAAUACCGCAUACGACCUGAGGGUGAAAGUGGGGGACCGCAAGGCCUCAUGCUAUAGGAGCGGCCGAUGUCUGAUUAGCUAGUUGGUGGGGUAAAGGCCCACCAAGGCGACGAUCAGUAGCUGGUCUGAGAGGACGAUCAGCCACACUGGGACUGAGACACGGCCCAGACUCCUACGGGAGGCAGCAGUGGGGAAUUUUGGACAAUGGGGGCAACCCUGAUCCAGCAAUGCCGCGUGUGUGAAGAAGGCCUUCGGGUUGUAAAGCACUUUUGUCCGGAAAGAAAUCGCUUCGGUUAAUACCUGGAGUGGAUGACGGUACCGGAAGAAUAAGGACCGGCUAACUACGUGCCAGCAGCCGCGGUAAUACGUAGGGUCCAAGCGUUAAUCGGAAUUACUGGGCGUAAAGCGUGCGCAGGCGGUUGUGCAAGACCGAUGUGAAAUCCCCGGGCUUAACCUGGGAAUUGCAUUGGUGACUGCACAGCUAGAGUGUGUCAGAGGGAGGUAGAAUUCCACGUGUAGCAGUGAAAUGCGUAGAGAUGUGGAGGAAUACCGAUGGCGAAGGCAGCCUCCUGGGAUAACACUGACGCUCAUGCACGAAAGCGUGGGGAGCAAACAGGAUUAGAUACCCUGGUAGUCCACGCCCUAAACGAUGUCAACUAGUUGUUGGGGAUUCAUUUCCUUAGUAACGUAGCUAACGCGUGAAGUUGACCGCCUGGGGAGUACGGUCGCAAGAUUAAAACUCAAAGGAAUUGACGGGGACCCGCA